Molecule: long non-coding RNA, 711 nt
Filed under: Amborella trichopoda
Lineage: Eukaryota; Viridiplantae; Streptophyta; Magnoliopsida; Amborellales; Amborellaceae
Description: long non-coding RNA (ATRI_LNC004722)
Source: RNAcentral
ACUAACAAAUGGUCUUAUUACAAAUAAUAGAAAUUUCAAAAAUAAAUAAUACAUCAAUAAAAUAAAUCUCAACUACUUGAUGUCAUUCAUACAACCUAAUACUGUACUUGAGAAUAUAAAAUAAAAGAACAAGCAAAUAAAAGAAAAGAUGCCGGAGAUUACCUCAACUGGGCUUUUUACACCCCACACCGAGUCAACACAUCCAAUGGCGCGGGAUCUGUGGUCUAGCUUCAAUCUCGACCCUGGAUAACUGAUUUCGGCCAAACUAGGUAACCACCCCUUAAAAUCUCUACUAAACCUUAACCCCCAAAAUUAACUAAGAUUCCCUCUAAUUUUCCCAACCCUUAAAAUUAACUUAAGUCUAGAGAUGAUAGAGAGUACUACCUAAGGUUUUGAAGAGAGAAAAUUACCAAACCCUUAAAAUUAACUUAGGUCUAGAGAGGAUAGAGAGUACUACCAAAGGUUUUGGAGAGAGAGAAAAUUAGAGAGAGAAAUAUGGAGGAGAGAGAGUGAGGCGUGCCCCUUUAAGAGAGAGAGAGAGUUAUGGGAGAGAAAGAGAGAGGUUGUAUGUAGAGAUUAGGGAAGAGCACCCCUAUUUAUAGUGGAUAUUUAGGUUUAAGAUUUUUUAGGGUUUUCCCAUAAUUCGCCUCUUUCUUGAGAUUGAAUCUAGACCGUUGAUCAAGUUGACUUGUGGGGUGGGAGAUCUGAGCC